RNAcentral lists this ribosomal RNA (253 nucleotides) under uncultured bacterium. RNAcentral's name for it is "partial 16S ribosomal RNA". It matches the Rfam family "Bacterial small subunit ribosomal RNA", at positions 524 to 776 of the family's 1533-position model. The record is from RNAcentral.
UACGUAGGGGGCAAGCGUUGUCCGGAUUCAUUGGGCGUAAAGCGCGUGUAGGCGGCCAGGUAGGUCCGACGUGAAAACUGGAGGCUCAACCUCCAGCUGUCGUUGGAAACCAUCUGGCUAGAGUCCGGAAGAGGAGAGUGGAAUUCCUGGUGUAGCGGUGAAAUGCGCAGAUAUCAGGAAGAACACCAAUGGCGAAGGCAGCUCUCUGGGACGGUACUGACGCUGAGACGCGAAAGCGUGGGGAGUGAACAGG